Gastrolobium bilobum is the source of this 2537-nucleotide RNA transcript. It is a transcript of the gene named transcription termination factor MTERF2, chloroplastic, with no coding region annotated. The record is from RefSeq and is a predicted model, not a curated record. Lineage: Eukaryota; Viridiplantae; Streptophyta; Magnoliopsida; Fabales; Fabaceae. The transcript is spliced from 7 exons.
GUUAACACUCUUAUCCAUUGCCAAUUCCGACCACCAUCUUCACAUUAAUAAGAAGAAAAGAAGAUGUUUUUUUCAUGUCAAAAAUACAACCUUUACAUUCCUUGCUCUUCUGUUCCACUCUGCAACCCAAGAUGCUGCAUUGUCAUGUGCCAAAACCCACAUGCCCCAAAUGAACAACAACCCAUUCUCCGCAAACACAAUUCCAAAUCCACAGCCUUUCUCCUUCACCACCUUUCCCACAAGGAUGAGGAUGAACAUGAUUCACAUGAACAUCAUCACCACUCUCACCAACUCACUCCAAAAUCCAGUGACCUGCAAGACCCUAUGCCCCAUGAAGAAAAGGUGAAGCUUUUGGAACUUUCCCUUGUCAGGAAAAGGACCCCUCAGUUUCCUGGCUCCAUCUAUGCUCAGUCCCCAAGCGACCCUGAUGUGGGUUCUUCUCUGCCUCCUCUGCGCACUCUGUUUCAAUCAAGUGCUCUCAGCGAUGAUGAUGAUGAUGAUGAUGAUGAGGAGGAGGAGAUGGUCAUGCGGGCUCUUCAGAUUCGCAGGAAGGUGACUGAGGAGGUUCUAAAAGAAGCUAUGCGAAAAGGAAAGUUUGGAAUCACAUACACUACCAAUUUGGUUAGCAGGGUGCCUGGUUUCAUCGAUUACAUCAUGAUUGAAGCUGCUAACUUGAAAAGGUUACAGGAAUAUUCACACUCCACCUUCAAUUUACGCGCCAAAACCGUCAUUGAUGAUUCCCAAGUUGUGCCACUUAUCAGAUGGUUGAAGCAUAAUGCACUGUCGUAUCCUCAGAUAGCAAAGCUCAUUUUGAUGUCAAGAGGAAAACUUGAGUCCAUAAGGAAUUGUGUUGAGUGGUUGAAGUCGGUGCAUGUGAAAGGAGAAUAUCUUGGGCUUUCACUCUUGAAGGGUGGAGAGAAUAUUUUGCAACGCAGCAAUGAGGAGCUGGAUGAGAUUGUUUUGUAUUUAGAGUCCAAUGGAGUCAGGAGGGAGUGGAUGGGUUAUGUCAUGAGUCGAUGUCCUCAAUUGUUGUCUUACAGCUUAGAAGAAGUGAAGAAUCGUGCGCAGUUCUAUUUUGAUAUGGGUUUAAAUGAGAAGGAUUUUGGCACAAUGGUUUUUGAUUAUCCUAAAGCACUUGGUUACUUUACUCUGGAAGUAAUGAACCAAAAGGUUAAUUACUUAAAAGAAUUUGGGCUUCAAAGCAAUGAUGUUGGCAGAUUGCUAGCAUUUAGGCCACAAUUGAUGGGGUGCAGCAUUGAGGAACAAUGGAAACCUCUUGUUAAGUAUCUGUACUAUUAUGGGAUCACCCGAGAUGGUAUGCGGAGAAUGCUUACCAUUAAACCAAUGGUCUUUUGUACAGACUUGCAAAUGACUAUUGCGCCAAAGGUACGGUUUUUUCAGGACAUAGGGGUUCGAGAUGAUGCAAUUGGCAACAUGCUUGUAAAGUUUCCUACUCUACUCACUUACAGCCUGUACAAGAAGAUUAGACCAGUGGUUAUAUUCUUGAUGACCAAAGCUGGGGUAAGUGAGAAAGAUAUUGGCAAGGUUGUAGCUCUUGGACCUGAGCUCUUGGGAUGCAGCGUAGUACAUAAGCUUGAAGUAAAUGUAAAAUAUUUUUUGUCGCUUGGCAUACGUAUUAAGCAAUUGGGUGAGAUGAUUGCUGAUUUCCCGAUGCUGCUCAGAUACAAUAUAGAUGUCCUUUGUCCCAAGUAUAGUUAUUUGCGGAAAACCAUGGUCCGGCCUUUGCAAGAUGUUAUUGAGUUUCCAAGGUUUUUCAGCUAUUCUCUUGAUGGUCGAAUUAUCCCAAGACACAAGGUUCUGGUGGAGAAUCAGAUUAAUAUUAAGCUAAGAUACAUGUUGGCUAGCUCUGAUGAAGAAUUCAAGAAAAUGGUCAAUUCUACAAUUAGAAAGCGCCAAAGAUUUGAACCUGCUGUCAUUAAGGAGGGUACUACUCAUCUUCAAUCUGGUAUUGCUGGGGAUAUUACUACACCCCAGACAUGUACAAAUUGAUGGCUCUGUGGAAAACAGAAUGGUGGUUGAGUUUAUGGGAAUUAGAGCAAUAUAGUAAUUGUUCUUCUCAAAGAUGGAGGUGCUAAAUGACAUUGUAGCAGCUGAUAUAGUGCAGAAACACCUUCAUGUGUAAAUGAAGGAAAAAGAGCUCCUGUGCCUUAAUAAACAGAAAGAAGCUUGCAAUUUGUCAUCCGCUGCCUCAUUUCACUAGUAAAGCCAAUGAAACUUGCUUACCAAAAAAAAAAAAAGCCAAUGAAACUUACCUCUACAGAGUGCAGACUAAGUUUUAUCAGAUGAGGAGACCUGACCUGUAUACUUCUUGUAAAUCUCUAGGAUAGUUUGAGGAGUAGACGUAAAUUUGACUGUUGUGCAACUGAAUAAUCUCAGUCUGAACAUGUAAUCACCUAUGAAGUUUGGUUUGAAUCCUGUUGGAUCCAUAUUGGCUGAAGACCCAUGGUCCUACCAUUGCAAGAUACCAUUCCCAAGGCAGAUUAUUUGUAAAAAUAUCCUUAAAAAAAAAGCUAUUA